UUCCAGGACUGACAGAAGAAACAGCAGGAACCAAUGCUCCGCUGGGCGAGGUGGACUCCAGGAUGUCAGAAUGUGACGCUUCACACAGAUUUUCACGGUAGUGUCUGAGCAGACCUGUGGGUGAGUGUGACAGCUGGUUUCUCCACAUCAUGGAUUGGUCAGAGAUAUCUGGAGAUGCUCAUUUCA
Molecule: long non-coding RNA, 186 nt
Filed under: Sinocyclocheilus grahami
Lineage: Eukaryota; Metazoa; Chordata; Actinopteri; Cypriniformes; Cyprinidae
Description: lncRNA (ENSSGRG00000039690.1)
Source: RNAcentral